UAUCCUGUCUGAAUAUGGGGGGACCAUCCUCCAAGGCUAAAUACUCCUGACUGACCGAUAGUGAACCAGUACCGUGAGGGAAAGGCGAAAAGAACCCCGGCGAGGGGAGUGAAACAGAACCUGAAACCGUGUACGUACAAGCAGUGGGAGCAUGAGUUUACUCAUGUGACUGCGUACCUUUUGUAUAAUGGGUCAGCGACUUAUAUUCUGUAGCAAGGUUAACCGUAUAGGGGAGCCGCAGGGAAACCGAGUCUUAAUUGGGCGUUAAGUUGCAGGGUAUAGACCCGAAACCCGGUGAUCUAGCCAUGGGCAGGUUGAAGGUUGGGUAACACUAACUGGAGGACCGAACCGACUAAUGUUGAAAAAUUAGCGGAUGACCUGUGGCUGGGGGUGAAAGGCCAAUCAAACCGGGAGAUAGCUGGUUCUCCCCGAAAGCUAUUUAGGUAGCGCCUCGUGAACUCAUCUCCGGGGGUAGAGCACUGUUUCGGCCAGGGGGCCAUCCCGGCUUACCAACCCGAUGCAAACUGCGAAUACCGGAGAAUGUUAUCACGGGAGACACACGGCGGGUGCUAACGUCCGUCGUGAAGAGGGAAACAACCCAGACCGCCAGCUAAGGUCCCAAAGUCAUGGUUAAGUGGGAAACGAUGUGGGAAGGCCCAGACAGCCAGGAUGUUGGCUUAGAAGCAGCCAUCAUUUAAAGAAAGCGUAAUAGCUCACUGGUCGAGUCGGCCUGCGCGGAAGAUGUAACGGGGCUAAACCAUGCACCGAAGCUGCGGCAGCGACACUGUGUGUUGUUGGGUAGGGGAGCGUUCUGUAAGCCUGCGAAGGUGUGCUGUGAGGCAUGCUGGAGGUAUCAGAAGUGCGAAUGCUGACAUAAGUAACGAUAAUGCGGGUGAAAAACCCGCACGCCGGAAGACCAAGGGUUCCUGUCCAACGUUAAUCGGGGCAGGGUGAGUCGACCCCUAAGGCGAGGCCGAAAGGCGUAGUCGAUGGGAAACAGGUUAAUAUUCCUGUACCUGGUGUUACUGCGAAGGGGGGACGGAGAAGGCUAUGUUGGCCGGGCGACGGUUGUCCCGGUUUAAGCGUGUAGGCUGGUUUUCCAGGCAAAUCCGGAAAAUCAAGGCUGAGGCGUGAUGACGAGGCACUACGGUGCUGAAGCAACAAAUGCCC
This 1170-nucleotide ribosomal RNA is filed under the name Salmonella enterica subsp. enterica. Its description in RNAcentral is "partial 23S ribosomal RNA". It matches the Rfam family "Bacterial large subunit ribosomal RNA", at positions 430 to 1602 of the family's 2925-position model. Lineage: Bacteria; Pseudomonadati; Pseudomonadota; Gammaproteobacteria; Enterobacterales; Enterobacteriaceae. RNAcentral also lists the same sequence under 1 other name. The record is from RNAcentral.